AGCGUACACGGUGGAUGCCCUGGCAGUCAGAGGCGAUGAAGGACGUGCUAAUCUGCGAUAAGCGUCGGUAAGGUGAUAUGAACCGUUAUAACCGGCGAUUUCCGAAUGGGGAAACCCAGUGUGAUUCGUCACACUAUCAUUAACUGAAUCCAUAGGUUAAUGAGGCGAACCGGGGGAACUGAAACAUCUAAGUACCCCGAGGAAAAGAAAUCAACCGAGAUUCCCCCAGUAGCGGCGAGCGAACGGGGAGCAGCCCAGAGCCUGAAUCAGUGUGUGUGUUAGUGGAAGCGUCUGGAAAGGCGCGCGAUACAGGGUGACAGCCCCGUACACAAAAAUGCACAUGCUGUGAGCUCGAUGAGUAGGGCGGGACACGUGGUAUCCUGUCUGAAUAUGGGGGGACCAUCCUCCAAGGCUAAAUACUCCUGACUGACCGAUAGUGAACCAGUACCGUGAGGGAAAGGCGAAAAGAACCCCGGCGAGGGGAGUGAAAAAGAACCUGAAACCGUGUACGUACAAGCAGUGGGAGCACGCUUAGGCGUGUGACUGCGUACCUUUUGUAUAAUGGGUCAGCGACUUAUAUUCUGUAGCAAGGUUAACCGAAUAGGGGAGCCGAAGGGAAACCGAGUCUUAACUGGGCGUUAAGUUGCAGGGUAUAGACCCGAAACCCGGUGAUCUAGCCAUGGGCAGGUUGAAGGUUGGGUAACACUAACUGGAGGACCGAACCGACUAAUGUUGAAAAAUUAGCGGAUGACUUGUGGCUGGGGGUGAAAGGCCAAUCAAACCGGGAGAUAGCUGGUUCUCCCCGAAAGCUAUUUAGGUAGCGCCUCGUGAAUUCAUCUCCGGGGGUAGAGCACUGUUUCGGCAAGGGGGUCAUCCCGACUUACCAACCCGAUGCAAACUACGAAUACCGGAGAAUGUUAUCACGGGAGACACACGGCGGGUGCUAACGUCCGUCGUGAAGAGGGAAACAACCCAGACCGCCAGCUAAGGUCCCAAAGUCAUGGUUAAGUGGGAAACGAUGUGGGAAGGCCCAGACAGCCAGGAUGUUGGCUUAGAAGCAGCCAUCAUUUAAAGAAAGCGUAAUAGCUCACUGGUCGAGUCGGCCUGCGCGGAAGAUGUAACGGGGCUAAACCAUGCACCGAAGCUGCGGCAGCGACGCUUAUGCGUUGUUGGGUAGGGGAGCGUUCUGUAAGCCUGCGAAGGUGUGCUGUGAGGCAUGCUGGAGGUAUCAGAAGUGCGAAUGCUGACAUAAGUAACGAUAAAGCGGGUGAAAAGCCCGCUCGCCGGAAGACCAAGGGUUCCUGUCCAACGUUAAUCGGGGCAGGGUGAGUCGACCCCUAAGGCGAGGCCGAAAGGCGUAGUCGAUGGGAAACAGGUUAAUAUUCCUGUACUUGGUGUUACUGCGAAGGGGGGACGGAGAAGGCUAUGUUGGCCGGGCGACGGUUGUCCCGGUUUAAGCGUGUAGGCUGGUUUUCCAGGCAAAUCCGGAAAAUCAAGGCUGAGGCGUGAUGACGAGGCACUACGGUGCUGAAGCAACAAAUGCCCUGCUUCCAGGAAAAGCCUCUAAGCAUCAGGUAACAUCAAAUCGUACCCCAAACCGACACAGGUGGUCAGGUAGAGAAUACCAAGGCGCUUGAGAGAACUCGGGUGAAGGAACUAGGCAAAAUGGUGCCGUAACUUCGGGAGAAGGCACGCUGAUAUGUAGGUGAAGUCCCUCGCGGAUGGAGCUGAAAUCAGUCGAAGAUACCAGCUGGCUGCAACUGUUUAUUAAAAACACAGCACUGUGCAAACACGAAAGUGGACGUAUACGGUGUGACGCCUGCCCGGUGCCGGAAGGUUAAUUGAUGGGGUUAGCGCAAGCGAAGCUCUUGAUCGAAGCCCCGGUAAACGGCGGCCGUAACUAUAACGGUCCUAAGGUAGCGAAAUUCCUUGUCGGGUAAGUUCCGACCUGCACGAAUGGCGUAAUGAUGGCCAGGCUGUCUCCACCCGAGACUCAGUGAAAUUGAACUCGCUGUGAAGAUGCAGUGUACCCGCGGCAAGACGGAAAGACCCCGUGAACCUUUACUAUAGCUUGACACUGAACAUUGAGCCUUGAUGUGUAGGAUAGGUGGGAGGCUUUGAAGUGUGGACGCCAGUCUGCAUGGAGCCGACCUUGAAAUACCACCCUUUAAUGUUUGAUGUUCUAACGUUGACCCGUAAUCCGGGUUGCGGACAGUGUCUGGUGGGUAGUUUGACUGGGGCGGUCUCCUCCUAAAGAGUAACGGAGGAGCACGAAGGUUGGCUAAUCCUGGUCGGACAUCAGGAGGUUAGUGCAAUGGCAUAAGCCAGCUUGACUGCGAGCGUGACGGCGCGAGCAGGUGCGAAAGCAGGUCAUAGUGAUCCGGUGGUUCUGAAUGGAAGGGCCAUCGCUCAACGGAUAAAAGGUACUCCGGGGAUAACAGGCUGAUACCGCCCAAGAGUUCAUAUCGACGGCGGUGUUUGGCACCUCGAUGUCGGCUCAUCACAUCCUGGGGCUGAAGUAGGUCCCAAGGGUAUGGCUGUUCGCCAUUUAAAGUGGUACGCGAGCUGGGUUUAGAACGUCGUGAGACAGUUCGGUCCCUAUCUGCCGUGGGCGCUGGAGAACUGAGGGGGGCUGCUCCUAGUACGAGAGGACCGGAGUGGACGCAUCACUGGUGUUCGGGUUGUCAUGCCAAUGGCACUGCCCGGUAGCUAAAUGCGGAAGAGAUAAGUGCUGAAAGCAUCUAAGCACGAAACUUGCCCCGAGAUGAGUUCU
This 2773-nucleotide ribosomal RNA is filed under the name Escherichia coli. Its description in RNAcentral is "bacterial LSU rRNA". It matches the Rfam family "Bacterial large subunit ribosomal RNA". The record is from RNAcentral. Lineage: Bacteria; Pseudomonadati; Pseudomonadota; Gammaproteobacteria; Enterobacterales; Enterobacteriaceae.